RNAcentral lists this ribosomal RNA (163 nucleotides) under uncultured bacterium. RNAcentral describes it as "partial 16S ribosomal RNA". The record is from RNAcentral.
GCACGUAGUUAGCCGGUGCUUAUUCUUCAGGUACCGUCAUCACCCCAGGGCUAUUAGCCCAGGAGUAUUUCUUCCCUGACAAAAGCGGUUUACAACCCGAAGGCCUUCUUCCCGCACGCGGCGUCGCUCCAUCAGGGUUUCCCCCAUUGUGAAAAAUUCUCGA